This 253-nucleotide ribosomal RNA is filed under the name uncultured bacterium. RNAcentral describes it as "partial 16S ribosomal RNA". It matches the Rfam family "Bacterial small subunit ribosomal RNA", at positions 524 to 776 of the family's 1533-position model. The record is from RNAcentral.
AACGUAGGAGACAAACGUUAUCCGGAGUUACUGGGCGUAAAGGGCGUGUAGGCGGUUAGUUAAGUCUGGCGUGAAAGCUCCCGGCUAAACCGGGAGAGGUCGUUGGAUACUGGCUGACUAGAGGACGGUAGAGGCGUGUGGAAUUCCGGGUGUAGUGGUGAAAUGCGUAGAGAUCCGGAGGAACACCAGUGGCGAAGGCGACACGCUGGGCCGUACCUGACGCUAAAGCGCGACAGCAUGGGGAGCAAACGGG